This 711-nucleotide ribosomal RNA is filed under the name uncultured organism. RNAcentral describes it as "bacterial SSU rRNA". It matches the Rfam family "Bacterial small subunit ribosomal RNA", at positions 1 to 764 of the family's 1533-position model. The record is from RNAcentral.
UAGAGUUUGAUCCUGGCUCAGGAUGAACGCUGGCGGUCUGCUUAACACAUGCAAGUCGAACGCAACCUUCGGGUUGAGUGGCGGACGGGUGAGUAACGCGUGAGAAUCUGCCUUGGGGUCGGGGACAACCACUGGAAACGGUGGCUAAUACCGGAUAAGCCUUUGGGUAAAAGAUUUAUUGCCCCAAGAGGAGCUCGCGUCUGAUUAGCUAGUUGGUGAGGUAAGAGCUCACCAAGGCAGCGAUCAGUAGCUGGUCUGAGAGGACGAUCAGCCACACUGGGACUGAGACACGGCCCAGACUCCUACGGGAGGCAGCAGUGGGGAAUUUUCCGCAAUGGGCGAAAGCCUGACGGAGCAAGACCGCGUGAGGGAGGAAGGCUCUUGGGUUGUAAACCUCUUUUCUCAGGGAAGAAGCUCUGACGGUACCUGAGGAAUCAGCCUCGGCUAACUCCGUGCCAGCAGCCGCGGUAAUACGGAGGAGGCAAGCGUUAUCCGGAAUUAUUGGGCGUAAAGCGUCCGCAGGUGGCGAUUCAAGUCUGCUGUCAAAGCACGGGGCUUAACUCCGUUAAGGCAGUGGAAACUGAAUAGCUAGAGUGCCGUAGGGGUAGAGGGAAUUCCCGGUGUAGCGGUGAAAUGCGUAGAGAUCGGGAAGAACAUCGGUGGCGAAAGCGCUCUACUGGACGGCACUGACACUCAGGGACGAAAGCUAGG